RNAcentral lists this ribosomal RNA (1199 nucleotides) under uncultured bacterium. RNAcentral describes it as "bacterial SSU rRNA". It matches the Rfam family "Bacterial small subunit ribosomal RNA", at positions 166 to 1387 of the family's 1533-position model. The record is from RNAcentral.
AUACCGCAUAAGCCCACGGGUCGGCAUCGACCAGAGGGAAAAGGAGCAAUCCGCUNUGAGAUGGCCUCGCGUCCGAUUAGCUAGUUGGUGAGGUAACGGCCCACCAAGGCAACGAUCGGUAGCCGGACUGAGAGGUUGAACGGCCACAUUGGGACUGAGACACGGCCCAGACUCCUACGGGAGGCAGCAGUGGGGAAUAUUGCACAAUGGGGGAAACCCUGAUGCAGCGACGCCGCGUGGAGGAAGAAGGUCUUCGGAUUGUAAACUCCUGUUGUUGAGGAAGAUAAUGACGGUACUCAACAAGGAAGUGACGGCUAACUACGUGCCAGCAGCCGCGGUAAAACGUAGGUCACAAGCGUUGUCCGGAAUUACUGGGUGUAAAGGGAGCGCAGGCGGGAAGACAAGUUGGAAGUGAAAUCCAUGGGCUCAACCCAUGAACUGCUUUCAAAACUGUUUUUCUUGAGUAGUGCAGAGGUAGGCGGAAUUCCCGGUGUAGCGGUGGAAUGCGUAGAUAUCGGGAGGAACACCAGUGGCGAAGGCGGCCUACUGGGCACCAACUGACGCUGAGGCUCGAAAGUGUGGGUAGCAAACAGGAUUAGAUACCCUGGUAGUCCACACCGUAAACGAUGAAUUACUAGGUGUUGGAGGAUUGACCCCUUCAGUGGCGGCAGUUAACACAAUAAGUAAUCCACCUGGGGAGUACGACCGCAAGGUUGAAACUCAAAGGAAUUGACGGGGGCCCGCACAAGCAGUGGAGUAUGUGGUUUAAUUCGACGCAACGCGAAGAACCUUACCAAGUCUUGACAUCCUGCGACGAUGCUGGAAACAGUAUUUUCCUUCGGGACGCAGAGACAGGUGGUGCAUGGUUGUCGUCAGCUCGUGUCGUGAGAUGUUGGGUUAAGUCCCGCAACGAGCGCAACCCUUAUGGUCAGUUACUACGCAAGAGGACUCUGGCCAGACUGCCGUUGACAAAACGGAGGAAGGUGGGGAUGACGUCAAAUCAUCAUGCCCUUUAUGACAUGGGCUACACACGUACUACAAUGGCGUUAAACAAAGAGAAGCAAGACCGCGAGGUGGAGCAAAACUCAGAAACAACGUCCCAGUUCGGACUGCAGGCUGCAACUCGCCUGCACGAAGUCGGAAUUGCUAGUAAUCGUGGAUCAGCAUGCCACGGUGAAUACGUUCCCGGGCCUUGCACA